Molecule: ribosomal RNA, 516 nt
Filed under: Vaejovis vorhiesi group sp. RWB-2013
Lineage: Eukaryota; Metazoa; Arthropoda; Arachnida; Scorpiones; Vaejovidae
Description: eukaryotic LSU rRNA
Rfam family: Eukaryotic large subunit ribosomal RNA
Source: RNAcentral
GACCAAGGAGUCUAACAUGUGCGCGAGUCGUCGGGUCUUGAAUAGGCCCGCAGGCGCAAUGAAAGUGAAGGGCGACCCCGUUGUCGUCUGCGUUGGGAUCCUCAGACYGCSGYGUCUGGGGCGCACCAACGGCCCGUCCCGUCCGCAGCGUCGGUGGGACGGAGCGAGAGCGUACACGUUGGGACCCGAAAGAUGGUGAACUAUGCCUGGGCAGGACGAGGCCAGAGGAAACUCUGGUGGAGGUCCGCAGCGAUUCUGACGUGCAAAUCGAUCGUCAGACCUGGGUAUAGGGGCGAAAGACUAAUCGAACCGUCUAGUAGCUGGUUCCCUCCGAAGUUUCCCUCAGGAUAGCUGGCGCUCGAGGGAGUCAGUCUCAUCCGGUAAAGCGAAUGAUUAGAGGCCUUGGGGCCGAAACGACCUCAACCUAUUCUCAAACUUUCAAUGGGUGAGAAGUCCGGUUUACAUGACUGAAGCCCGGACAAUUCUCAGGAUGCGAGUGCCCAGUGGGCCACUUUU